UAUUUUUAAAUAAUAGUUUACCCUUUUGCAACCCAGAACUCAUUGCUCAGUAUAAGUUUUGAUACAUAUAAGAAGGAACAUG
Myotis lucifugus (little brown bat) is the source of this 82-nucleotide non-coding RNA. The record is from Rfam. NCBI's taxonomy places the organism in Eukaryota, Metazoa, Chordata, Mammalia, Chiroptera, Vespertilionidae.